This 427-nucleotide ribosomal RNA is filed under the name Pseudomonas sp. Its description in RNAcentral is "partial 16S ribosomal RNA". It matches the Rfam family "Bacterial small subunit ribosomal RNA", at positions 355 to 774 of the family's 1533-position model. The record is from RNAcentral. Lineage: Bacteria; Pseudomonadati; Pseudomonadota; Gammaproteobacteria; Pseudomonadales; Pseudomonadaceae. RNAcentral also lists the same sequence under 1 other name.
UGGGGAAUAUUGGACAAUGGGCGAAAGCCUGAUCCAGCCAUGCCGCGUGUGUGAAGAAGGUCUUCGGAUUGUAAAGCACUUUAAGUUGGGAGGAAGGGCAGUUACCUAAUACGUGAUUGUUUUGACGUUACCGACAGAAUAAGCACCGGCUAACUCUGUGCCAGCAGCCGCGGUAAUACAGAGGGUGCAAGCGUUAAUCGGAAUUACUGGGCGUAAAGCGCGCGUAGGUGGUUCGUUAAGUUGGAUGUGAAAUCCCCGGGCUCAACCUGGGAACUGCAUUCAAAACUGACUGACUAGAGUAUGGUAGAGGGUGGUGGAAUUUCCUGUGUAGCGGUGAAAUGCGUAGAUAUAGGAAGGAACACCAGUGGCGAAGGCGACCACCUGGACUAAUACUGACACUGAGGUGCGAAAGCGUGGGGAGCAAACA